AACGCUGGCGGCAGGCUUAAUACAUGCAAGUCGAACGGUAACAUGUCGGAGCAAUCUGAUGAUGACGAGUGGCGCACGGGUCGUAACGCGUAUGCAACCUACCCAUAACCGGAACAUUAACGUUGAGAAAUCGGCGCUAAUAUUCCAUGUGUAUAUUUUGUGGCAUCAUAGAAUAUAUAAAGAUUAAUUGGUUAUGGAUGGGCAUGCGUAUCAUUAGCUAGUUGGUGGGGUAACGGCCUACCAAGGCUGCGAUGAUUAGGGGUUCUGAGAGGAUAACCCCCCACACUGGAACUGAGACACGGUCCAGACUCCUACGGGAGGCAGCAGUAGGGAAUAUUGGGCAAUGGAGGCAACUCUGACCCAGCCAUGCCGCGUGAAGGAAGACGGUCCUAUGGAUUGUAAACUUCUUUUAUCAUAGAGUAACCGCAGGGACGUGUCCCUGCCUGCAAGUAUAUGAUGAAUAAGCAUCGGCUAACUCCGUG
RNAcentral lists this ribosomal RNA (482 nucleotides) under uncultured bacterium. Its description in RNAcentral is "bacterial SSU rRNA". It matches the Rfam family "Bacterial small subunit ribosomal RNA", at positions 32 to 507 of the family's 1533-position model. The record is from RNAcentral.